Molecule: long non-coding RNA, 1419 nt
Filed under: Homo sapiens (human)
Lineage: Eukaryota; Metazoa; Chordata; Mammalia; Primates; Hominidae
Description: HSALNT0131906
Source: RNAcentral
AAGCAUGCAAAGGACAGAUGUGUGCAGUGUGCACUGACAUAAGGCCGCAUGUUGCCCUUUCAACUGCAGUGGAAAAUUGUGCAUCGGAGACUCACAGGUCCGUCAUGGAGCAGGUGUCCAGUGAGAGCAGGCGUCCAGUGAGAGCAGGCGUCCAGUGAGAGCAGGUGUCCAGUGAGAACAGGCGUCCAGUGAGAGCAGGCGUCCAGUGAGAGCAGGCGUCCAGUGAGAGCAGGCGUCCAGUGAGAACAGGCGUCCAGUGAGAGCAGGCGUCCAGUGAGAGCAGGCGUCCGGUGAGAACAGGCGUCCGGUGAGAGCAGGCGUCCGGUGAGAGCAGCUGUCCGGUGAGAGCAGGCGUCCAGUGAGAGCAGGCGUCCAGUGAGAGCAGGCGUCCAGUGAGAGCAGCUGUCCAGUGAGAACAGGCGUCCAGUGAGAGCAGGCGUCCAGUGAGAGCAGGCGUCCAGUGAGAGCAGGCGUCCAGUGAGAGCAGCUGUCCAGUGAGAGCAGGCGUCCAGUGAGAGCAGGCAUCCAGUGAGAGCAGGCGUCCAGUGAGAGCAGCUGUCCAGUGAGAGCAGGCGUCCAGUGAGAGCAGGCGUCCAGUGAGAGCAGCUGUCCAGUGAGAGCAGCUGUCCAGUGAGAGCAGGCGUCCAGUGAGAGCAGGUGUCCAGUGAGAACAGGUGUCCAGUGUGAGCACAGCUUUGGGGGUUCCAGGUAGAGUUUAGCAAGCAGGUGAAUUCACGACCGGGCUCCCCGGUGAUGAGCUGACUCUGGUCCCGGGAUCCCGCUUGGACUUUGUGUCCCUGCUCUGAGCUUGUCAUCUGGCCACUCGCUCCUGGGAGAAUUCUUCUGUCACGGCCCCUCCGAGACUCCGAACUGACUUCUGCCUUUCACGGCUUUCUCGCCAUCCGAGGCUUGGCCCUAGCCCUGCGCGGCUUCCCUCGCGGCUGCUAACCCUCUGCCUGCGCCCAGCCCAGCCACAAUGGGGACUGCUCAGGUUUUGCCUGGCAUUCUGCAGAAGCAUUGCUGUAUCUUACCAGACAGGAAUACAGGUCUGCUGUGUGCCAAAAUAUUUUACCAUGCCCUAAAAGUGAGAUGUUGGAAGUGGACAAGGAGGAAAUAUUUAUGAAUAUUUGAGUCUGUUAUUCUUUAUGUUAAGCAUUUUGGCUUCUGUUGUACUCCUAAAUCACUACUGAGAGCAGAGAAAGAGCUCUUUGUAGAAAUGAGAUGUGUUCCUGUGUGCUGCCUGUGACGCAUCCCGUUGUCACCGGAGUGCCGUGGCCCUAAGGAAUGACAGCAUUAAGGCAUGGACGUUAAAGAUGGACAAAAGAAUUGUUCACGGUGUUGUAUUUUAAAAUGACUAUGUGUAUGACAAUUAAACUAUUGUGUCUUCGUUUACUCCAUGUGUUCUGCCUGACAGCUGGG